CCGGGAGUGCUGCCUGAGGAGACCGGUUGGCGGGGCAUGUGUGGCCGCUCCCGGGCGCCGCCCUCCCGCGCUCCCGGCCCUUUGUCCUGCAGUCAGACCCCGGACACCGCCCUCGCGGGUCUCGGUGGGAAAACAGGCUCCCCCGCCCGCGGCGAUCCCUGAGAGAACCUUCCAGAACUUUCGAGAAUCUUCCAGGUCCUACGGCACCUCCCAGCCCGGGAGCUGCGCGCCACGGACCCAAUUCCAGCAGAUCCCAACCGAUCCCAAAGCCAGGCAUCCCCGCAAAGGCGUCAUAAGCUUCUGAACUAGAGCAGGACCCACCUUGGGAGGGUCCCAAGACCCCGGGGGGCACCGGAAACAGCCGCGGGUGGCGGGAGCCCCGGAGCGGUCGCUCCAUCAGUGUCAGGCCUUUCCCUGAGCGGUUUUUGAUUUUUUUUCAGACGGAGUCUCGCUCUGUCACCCAGGCUGGAGUGCAGUGGCGCGAGCUCAGCUCACUGCAGCCUCCUCCUGCUGGGAUUACAGGUGCGCGCCACCCCACCCGGCUAAUUUUUGUAUUUUUAGUAGAGAAUACUAAAUGUUGAUCAGGCUGCUCUCAAGCUCCUGACCUCAGGUGAUCGGCCUGCCUCGGCCUCCCAAAGUAUUGGGAUUACAGGCCUGAGCCACCUCGCCAGCCCCCACAGUUCUUUAAAAGCAAAGGAGGCCGAAUUGGCAGAUCCUUUAAGCCCAAGGAUUGGAGACCAGCCUGGGCAACAUGGCGAGACCCCAUCUCUAUAAAAAAGAUACAGGCUCACUCCUGUAAUCCCAGCAGGAGGCCGAGGCGGGCAGAUCACAUGAGGUCAGGAGAUCGAGACCAGCAUUGCCAACAUGGUGAAACCCCGUCUUUACUACAAAUAGAAAAAUUAGCCGGGCGUGGUGGCGAUGCCUGUAAUCCCAACUAUUCAGGAGGCUGAGGCAGGAGAAUCGCUUGAACCCGGGAGGCGGAACUUGCAGUAAGGGGAGAUCGCGCCACUGCACUCCAGCCUGGGCAACAGAGUGGGACUUCGUCUCAAAAAAGGAAAAAAUUAAAAGACUUACAGCAGCAUUCGUCACGCACUGGCCCCGACUCUUCAAGGGGAAGGGGCGACAGCAAAGCCGGCUCUAACUUCUUUUUCCUUCUCACAUUUGCGGGAAUAGAAGGUUUGUGUCUUCGGUCGAUCCCAGCAACCUCAGCGACUGAUUUUUUUUCCUUUAUCAAGUUGAGAAUGUUCACCUUUCACUUGUUUUUUAUUUUUAUUUACAUUUUUGAGUCGAAGUUUGGCUCUGUGGCCCAGGCUGGAGUGCAGCGGCCCAGUCAUAGCUCACUGCAGCCUCAACCUCCCAGGCUCAAAUGAUCCUUCCACCUUAGCCUCCGGAGUAGCUGGGACCACAGUGCGCACCACCAUGGCUGGCUAAGAUUUUUAUUUUUUGUAGAGAGAGGGUCUUGCUAUGCUGGCCAGGCUGGUUUCGACCUUUUGGGCUCAAGUGAUCCUCCCACCUCGGCUCCCCAAAGUGCUGGGAUCACAGGUAGGAUCCACCUUGCUCAGCCGUCUCAGUUUGUCUAUAAAAUGGGGGUGGUGGUCUGUGGGUGGUUGGCAAGAACUAUGUCUCUGAUAUCCUCUCACGUUAAAUCUGAGCUGGCGGUGGCUCAGGCCUGUAAUCCCAGCACUUUGGGAGGUCAAGGCAGACAUAUCGCCUGAGGUCAGGAGUUCGAGACCAGCCUGGCCAAUAUAGAGAAACCCCCAUCGCUACUAAAAAUACAAAAAUUGGCUGAGCGUGGUAGUGUGCACCUGUAAUCCCAGCUAUUUGGGAGGCUGAGGCAAGAAAAUCUCUUGAACCCAGGAGGCGGAGGUUGCAGUGAGCUGAGAUCGCGUCAGUGUACUCCAAUGUGGGUGACAGAGCAAGACUGACUCUGUCUCAAAAAGAAAAAAGAAAAAAUCCUGGGCUGGCGUGUGACCUGCUUCAGCCCAGGGAAUACAGCAGAAGGGGUGCUGUGCCAGAUCCAAGCCUCUGCCUCAGGAGGAGUGGGGCCCAGUGCGGUGGCUCCCGCCUGUGCUUUGGGAGGUGCUUUGGGAGGCUGAGAUGGGAGGAUCACAUGAGCCCAGGAGUUGGAGACAGGCCUGGGCAACAUAGUGAGACCCUGCCUGUACAAAAACAAAAAAGAAUUAGCCAGGCAUGGUGAUGCACACCUGUAGUCCCAGCUACCCAGGAGGCUGAGGCAGGAGGAUUGCGUGAGUCUGGGAGGUCGAGGCUGCAGUGAACCGUGAUUGCACCACUGCACUCCACAUGACAAAGCAAGACCCUGUCUCAAAAACAAAACAAAACAAAACACAGCGUGGCAACAGCUCACGCCUGUAAUCCCAACACUUUGGGAGGCCAAGAUGGGAGGAUUCCUUGAGCCCAGGAGUUCAAAGCUCCUAUGAGCUCAAAUGAGGUAUAUUUUUUUAAUUUGUUUUAGAGACAGAGUCUUGCUCUUGUUGCCCAGGCUGGAGUGCACUGGUGCAAUCUCGGCUCGCUGCAACCUAUACCUCCCAGGUUCAAGCCAUUCUCCUGCCUCAGCCUCCCCAGUAGCUGGGAUUACAGGCACACGCC
RNAcentral lists this long non-coding RNA (2607 nucleotides) under Homo sapiens (human). Its description in RNAcentral is "non-protein coding lnc-GAMT-9:1". Lineage: Eukaryota; Metazoa; Chordata; Mammalia; Primates; Hominidae. The record is from RNAcentral.